AUGGUUUCUUUGGUUCUGAUGCUGCAAGAGAAAGGAGUCAUGCCAGCACUAAAACUGUCAAUCAGUCAAGAGAAAACUGGCCUUCUGCUUAUUCUCUUUUUGGCAAUCAUCACAGGUGUUCAAUCACAGAUCCAGCUGGUGGAGUCUGGAGGGGAUGUCAAAAGGCCUGGAGAGUCACUCCAUCUCUCCUGUCGAGCCUCCGGCUUCACCUUCAGCAGCUACUGGAUGCAAUGGGUGCACCAGGCUCCUGGAAAGGGACUGGAAUGGAUAGGGGAAAUUAAUCCAGCUUCCUCCACCGUUCGCUACUCAAAUGCAGUGAAAAGGCACUUCACCAUCUCCAGGGACAAUGCCAACAAUCUGCUGUACUUGCAGUUAGGCAGCCUGAAAUCUGAAGACACGGCUCUGUAUUACUGUGCAAGAGACACAGUAAGAGGAAGUGACUCUGAGAUGACACAAAAACCACUGCCUCACAGCAGCUCUCCAGGAUGA
Molecule: non-coding RNA, 489 nt
Organism: Varanus komodoensis (Komodo dragon)
Lineage: Eukaryota; Metazoa; Chordata; Lepidosauria; Squamata; Varanidae
Source: the annotation of a RefSeq genome assembly